RNAcentral lists this ribosomal RNA (253 nucleotides) under uncultured bacterium. Its description in RNAcentral is "partial 16S ribosomal RNA". It matches the Rfam family "Bacterial small subunit ribosomal RNA", at positions 524 to 776 of the family's 1533-position model. The record is from RNAcentral.
GACAGAGGUGCCGAGCGUUAGGCGGAAUCACUGGGCUUAAAGCGUGCGCAGGCGGUUCUCCAAGUCCGUUGUGAAAGCCCCGGGCUCAACCUGGGAAUGGCAGUGGAAACUAGGGGACUGGAAUCUGGCAGAGGGGGGUGGAAUGCCGCGUGUAGCAGUGAAAUGCGUAGAGAUGCGGCGGAACACCGAUGGCGAAGGCAGCCCCCUGGGCUGAGAUUGACGCUCAGGCACGAAAGCGUGGGGAGCAAACAGG